RNAcentral lists this ribosomal RNA (489 nucleotides) under uncultured bacterium. Its description in RNAcentral is "partial 16S ribosomal RNA". It matches the Rfam family "Bacterial small subunit ribosomal RNA", at positions 32 to 507 of the family's 1533-position model. The record is from RNAcentral.
UUUAACGCUGGCGGCAGGCCUAACCCAUGCAAGUCGCACGGUAACAGGAAGAAGCUUGCUUCUUUGCUGACGCGUGGCGGACGGGUGAGUAAUGUCUGGGAAACUGCCUGAUGGAGGGGGAUAACUACUGGAAACGGUAGCUAAUACCGCAUAACGCCGCAAAACCAAAGAGGGGGACCUUCGGGCCUCUUGCCAUCGGAUGUGCCCAGAUGGGAUUAGCUAGUAGGUGGGGUAACGGCUCACCUAGGCGACGAUCCCUAGCUGGUCUGAGAGGAUGACCAGCCACACUGGAACUGAGACACGGUCCAGACUCCUACGGGAGGCAGCAGUGGGGAAUAUUGCACAAUGGGCGCAAGCCUGAUGCAGCCAUGCCGCGUGUAUGAAGAAGGCCUUCGGGUUGUAAAGUACUUUCAGCGGGGAGGAAGGGAGUAAAGUUAAUACCUUUGCUCAUUGACGUUACCCGCAGAAGAAGCACCGGCUAACUCCGUG